This is a non-coding RNA of Phrynosoma platyrhinos (Desert horned lizard), 70 nucleotides long. Lineage: Eukaryota; Metazoa; Chordata; Lepidosauria; Squamata; Phrynosomatidae. The record is from the annotation of a GenBank genome assembly.
CUUAGUGUGGUGUAGUGGUUUGAGCACUGGACUACAACUCUGGAGACUAGAGUUCGAAUCUCCUCUCAGC